Long non-coding RNA from Mustela putorius furo (domestic ferret), 2072 nucleotides. The record is from Ensembl. Lineage: Eukaryota; Metazoa; Chordata; Mammalia; Carnivora; Mustelidae.
NNNNNNNNNNNNNNNNNNNNNNNNNNNNNNNNNNNNNNNNNNNNNNNNNNNNNNNNNCGCUGGGGGCCCGCAGGCCUGCCUUCCCUGGCCGGGCGUCGGGCGCCGGACCUCGUGUGCCCGCGCCUGUCGGGGGAGGCGAACGGCAGCCCCCGCGCGCGGAUGCCGGUGCGGGGCGCGCGCGGAGAGCGCCUGGAGCCCGUGGUGUCCAGAGGAGCCCCGGGCGCCCCGAAGCCCGCCAGCGCCCGCGGAGGACGUCGCUGCCCCGACAGCCCCAGGGGCACGCGCAGGUCACUCUGCUGGGCCCCGGAGGGCGCCGUGGUGGCACCCGUCGGCGCCUCUCUUGGUUGGGACUCUGCGCGCUCAGCGGCUCGUCCCUUCUGUUUCCGAGGCGUUUGGUGAUCCCAGGGGUCAGGUGGGAGCCGUGAGUCUGAAGGUCACCAGCCCCGCGCGAGGGAAGACCUAGCGCCCGCACGUCUUCCUGAAGGGCGCGGCAGGUCGCGUCGGAGGAGCUGCAGACGCACGCAGGGAGCCGGGCGGGGGGCCAGAGGGCGUGAGGAGGGGCUGCCUGCCUGCCGCGCGCGUCCUGGGCUGGUGCCCCCUGCGUUGGGUCGGGGUUGGGCCGUGAUGUUCUCCGGAGCUGCUGGGGAGAGACCUGGACCACAGACGGGGCAGUUGGGUGAGCAGGAAUUAGGGCUGCUGAGGCCAUUUCCCAGCAUUCCAGGGUCCCCGAGCAGACCGGCUUUCCGCGGCUUGGCCACUCCUCCAGGGAGAGGACAGCGGACAGGGCUCGUGCUGCCUUCCCCGGGGACCUUCCUGUGAUCAUAACGGCCGCUCGCUCUGGGCUUGUCCUGCCCCCAUCCCUGGUCAGCCCUUGUCACCAGCCACAGGUCUGACGUGGGUCAUUCAUCCAGGGUCCCACCUGUCGUCUCGGUGGCUUCUCGUGGUACAGCCCUCCCCAGAGCACAGGGGUCACUGCUUGGAAGAACUUAGGUGUGAGACGAGGACCGGCCGUGAUACUUACAGGUGUUCGGGACGGCCUUCUGUGCUGGGCAGUUCCCCGUUCCAGGCGUCUGCACUCGCCUUUGCUCUGGUCCCGCAGAGGUCCCCACACUCCGUGCCCCACGCUCGGGAGCUGUUCCAGGCGCCAGCGUGACGGAAGAGGACAGGCUCGGGGACUAGUGCCUGACCUGAGUGUUUCUCUCACAGACGUGCCCCUUCUGCCGGACUCCACGGCACUUGGGAGCAGCGUGAGAGGCAGAAAGGGCGGCGGGCUCCCGUCCAGCGCGUCCCGGGAGCCCUGUCUCGGGCGAGUGUUCAGCGCUUGGCUGCAGCCUUCUCUGCCAAGAAGAGCCCGAGGGGAGGCCUUUAGGAUGGACGAGCCCGCACGGCACUUCCGUCUGCUGCCCCAGGGAGCAGAGCCCGGCGGCGCCCACGGCCCCAAAGGGCAAACGGCGGAAACACCCGAAGCGCUCCGAGGCGAGAGGACUGGGGCAGGGGGCGAGCUGGUGCUCCUGCGCCGCGCGUGUGAGGGUUCGGGUUAGCGUGAGACCCUGGGAAGCCACAAUAAAGAGCAGGCGGACCGCACCAGAGGCUGUUCUGUCGUGUGCGCGGAGGACCCUGGGCCGUGGGGACGCGCCGCUCAGGAUGGUCACUUUUUGGAGAAUUUUCAUCUAAAACACCUUACCUGAGCCUGACCGGGGCAGCAGAUGCAGCUGCCGCUUUACAGGCCGUGCCAGAGCCAACGUCCAGCCGCCACGAGGGAAAGAGCCAUGGGUAGGGAAGGCCACUCAGGCGGUUUUUCUGGACUUGGAAGCAAAAAAGGAGGGGCUGCCCUUCUAGAGGCGCCAGCCAGCCGAGGGAGGGUCUGGCUUAGGAACCCAGCGGCAGUGACACUGUGUGGGGCACCUGUCCUUCCGCAGCCCCCCCAGGUCAGAGCCCGAGCCCUCCGGACAGUCCCUGUCCAGCACCCCAGCCCUGCCACCUGAGAAUAAAAUCAGGCGCAAUCCAGGGAUUCCACAGGUCCAGAGCGCUGCCUGCUGGACGCUUGGGGACUGUGCUCCAGGAGCCUGGAG